GAUGAAGAACGCAGCGAAAUGCGAUAAGUAAUGUGAAUUGCAGAAUUCAGUGAAUCAUCGAAUCCUUGAACGCACAUUGCGCCCGUCAGUAUUCUGGCGGGCAUGCCUGUUCGAGCGUCAUUACGCCCCUCAAGUCCCCUGUGGACUUGGUGUUGGGGAUCGGCGAGGCUGGUUUUCCAGCACAGCCGUCCCUUAAAUUAAUUGGCGGUCUCGCCGUGGCCCUCCUCUGCGCAGUAGUAAAACACUCGCAACAGGAGCCCGGCGCGGUCCACUGCCGUAAAACCCCCCAACUUUUUAUAGUUGACCUCGAAUCAGGUAGGACUACCCGCUGAACUUAAGCAUAUCAAUAAGCGGAGGA
This 358-nucleotide unclassified non-coding RNA is filed under the name soil metagenome. RNAcentral's name for it is "partial contains 5.8S ribosomal RNA, internal transcribed spacer 2, and large subunit ribosomal RNA". The stretch from base 1 to 120 matches the Rfam family "5.8S ribosomal RNA", at positions 35 to 154 of the family's 154-position model. The record is from RNAcentral.